Molecule: ribosomal RNA, 497 nt
Filed under: uncultured bacterium
Lineage: Bacteria
Description: partial 16S ribosomal RNA
Rfam family: Bacterial small subunit ribosomal RNA
Source: RNAcentral
GAUGAACGCUGGCGGCGUGCCUAAUACAUGCAAGUCGAGCGAACAGACGAGAAGCUUGCUUCUCUGAUGUUAGCGGCGGACGGGUGAGUAACACGUGGAUAACCUACCUAUAAGACUGGGAUAACUUCGGAAAACCGGAGCUAAUACCGGAUAAUAUUUUGAACCGCAUGGUUCAAAAGUGAAAGACGGUCUUGCUGUCACUUAUAGAUGGAUCCGCGCUGCAUUAGCUAGUUGGUAAGGUAACGGCUUACCAAGGCAACGAUGCAUAGCCGACCUGAGAGGGUGAUCGGCCACACUGGAACUGAGACACGGUCCAGACUCCUACGGGAGGCAGCAGUAGGGAAUCUUGCGCAAUAGGCGAGAGCCUGACGGAGCAACGUCGCGUGAGUGCUGAAGGUCUUCGGAUCCUAAAACUCUGUUAUUAGGGAAGAACAUAUGUGUAAGUAACUGUGCACAUCUUGACGGUACCUACUCAGAAAGCAACGGCUAACUACGUG